Molecule: long non-coding RNA, 3246 nt
Organism: Columba livia (rock pigeon)
Lineage: Eukaryota; Metazoa; Chordata; Aves; Columbiformes; Columbidae
Exons: 6
Source: RefSeq, a predicted model, not a curated record
GUGUGAGAUAUGAAAGUCGUUCAGCUGUUGGAGAAAUGGAAGGACAUAAAACAGAAGCAGCAAAUAAAACUGCAAGAGUGACCCUAAAAUUUUAUUUCUGGUCUAGGCAGCUGUAAAUCCUUGAACGGUGUGUGAAGUGCACUGGAAUGGUGACUAUUUGGGCAACACAAACUAUUAGGAGAUGUGAUAAAAAUGAAAUCCAAAUAGUAAACAUAUAGGAAAUAAGAUGAAACUACAAAAUACCAAGCCUCUGAGAACACCAAUAGGCCUUAAUGGCCCUGACAAGCCUCACCUGGAGCUUCUGCCCACACCUCUGUAUGUGGACUCAUAAGCCUCAUUUGAACUCAGGCUUAAGACCUAAGGUGUGGUUUGAAUGAUGCUGUGGGUGUUCCUCUGACUCCUGGAUAGCUCUCAGACCUAUAUUGUGGACAGUUUUUCUACUGGACGGACUUCUUGCAUGAACCUGGUUCAUUGCUUUGCCUUUUCUGGGACUGCUAGAGAGUCUUAUUACAGACUCAGGAAGAUUUGGUAGCAGGACAGCGGAGCUGACAACACCAGGAGUAAGAAGACAUGGGGAGCAGCAUUACCAGCUUCCCUCGUGCUGCUGCUCUAACACAGUAUGCUGCUUAGUGACAAAAGUCUCAAGCUUCCUUCAUCUCUGGCUGGAAAAAGCUUUCCACACUGGACAAGUAAUGAACUCCAAAGAACAAUGAAAUCAUCAAAGCUGAGGCUCACCCAUCAGAAGGAUCUUAUGAGGGACAUGAAUGUUAGAGAUCAGCAUGACAAGACAUAAAAAUUAUAGCCUGCCAAGGAAGGACACAGAAAAAGAGAGAAGUCACGACAUUGAGAUGGGAGAGUGAGAAAAUAAACAGCAGCACAACAGGAAACUACAGGGAAGUAGUGACCAUCCUUGUCUACAUAUGCCCUCAUCUGCUUGAUUCACUUAACUAUUUGGUGGGCAAGUAACAGAAUGCACAACAACUACUCUGCAGCAAUGUGUUUGCUGAUUGAAUGACGAGAGUGUAUCUGCUGUCCAGCCAGCUAUUUAUGAUGGGUAUGGACACUACUGUUUAGCUGCCUUUUCCUGGGAAAGGACACUGAGUGUAAAAUGACAUGUGCAAAAUUGAUGCAAUUGGUUUUUAUGUCUGAAAUAUAUUUUUACUUUUACAUAUGUACUUUUACAGAACACUCUGGCCCAUAGAGAUGAACAUGUUGUCCCUAAGUCAUGUCGUGAAAAGAUCUUAACUUUUUAUUUAUCCAGCCAGACCACAUUUUUCUUACUGAUGUAGAAUUAGGAUUGAAAGUUAAGUGCUGGCUAGACAAUAACUGGACAAGAUUGUAUUUUUGUACCAUAAAUUAAGUUACAGAAUGCAGGUUGAGAGAGGCUGGGAGCUCUUGGGUUAAGACUUGGAUUUUAAUGCAAUAGAAUACUUUAGGUGUUGCGUAAGUAUGGCGAUGUUCUAGAGGAUGUUAAUUAUAUUUUCCUCAUUUUCCACAAGAAAUAUUGAAGACAUAAACUUGUCUUAUCAGACUAUGACUAAGUAAAUCUUUGCUAAUCAGCAGUGUGUAAGAAGCAAAAAUGGUAACUCAGCUUCUCACCCAGCCUCAGCAAGAUGCUUCUGUCUCAUCUUAAUCUCUCAGAAAAUAACAGAGGAGGCAUGCAGCUAGUGGCUGUGUCUAAAAAGCAGUACAUUUGUGGUUUUGAUACAACCUGCAGACAUGGUUGUUCUGUGGUCCAACCAUUGGACCUCUUUCUGCUGCUUCUUCUAGUUCAUCAUGGCAUAGAGGGACAUGUUUAGAAGACUCCCAGUUCUUCAGGUUACACAUGCCAGUUGGUAAGUGAGCAGAGUAUAAAUUCGGAGACUAGUUUGUUAACCCAGAGAUGCUUCCCUGAGAGAGCAAACCUAGACAAACGGUGGGUCAUGACUGAGUCCUAGGAUGUGAUAAAAUAUCAGGUAAACAGAUUUUCCUCUUCUUAGUUGUCCUUAACACAGCCUUUGUCUGCAUUCCCUAACACAGACUCACUUUCCCCUAAUUUGAUAGUCCUGGCAUUUUCCUUUAGUGUCAUAAUCCCCCAAAUCCCAGCUAUUUGGGAUCCUUGAGACAAAGUGCUUCCCUUGGUCACAUCCAGUCAUGUUAACCUCUUAUUUCAAUAUAGACUUUACUUUCAAAACUGUGGAGACCAAGUCUGCAUGCCUGCCUUGUAGAGGGAGCAACGUCUGUGGUUUCCCUGUGCACUUUGGCUUGCACAUCCACCUUGUCUUUAUUUUAGGCCUUUCCUAAUCUGUGGCCUAACUACAACCAAGCCACAGAGCUGGGAACUUGGCAUUCAAAAUUCUGGAAACUCUCUGUGAAGCAGCCUUUGAUUUUUGUACGGAUUUUCAAGACAUAAGCGUAAUUCUGUUUGAGCAUGAUUAGGAUUAUAUAUUCCACUGAAAAAAUCCAGUCCUUAAAAAGUUUUCCAGGUUCAGUUAUUCAGGCAACUUUCAACAGCUGAACCCAUUGAAUCUGGAAAUAAAAUUCCUAGUAUCUUUUGUGCAGAAAAUAGGAAGUCCUUUUGUGAUGUGAGAUGCUACUGAAGCCUUGAAUGAAAGGGUUAAUUUAUAAAAAGGCACUGGCUCUUAGUAGUUGCUAGGUAACAUUGACCUUUUCCCAAAGGCUAUACUCCACCAACUAGGGUGUUUCCGCAAAGGUAAUGAUUCUGUCUGGGGUUUACUCAACGAGUUGGUGGUAACCUAUGCUGCAGGGAAGUUGAGAGGAUAUAGUUUUGGAACUAUCAUUUUCCACCCAUUGUGCUGUUCCAUUCAUAUUUCUCUCUCUUCUCUAAAAUAAAAAUAAAAAAAAUUCAAACAAACAACAGCAACAAACCACAGUGUCUCUAAUUUAGCUGUGAAACCACAUCACUAUAGCUGCAACAACUGUCUGUCCUCCCAUGCAGACUGUGCACUAGAAAAGUGAAUGACCACCUGUGCCUGUGACUAUAAGAAGUCCCAAAUUCUAGUUGCGAAGGCUUCUCUUCAGAGUACUAAAAAUAAAUAAAAAGGAAAUAUGCCCAUUUUCAAGGUGAUUAUUGAAACCUCUUUACUUUAGAAUGAGUACGAACUUUCUACAGCGGUAGAUUUUUAAAGUAAGAUUUAUUUUUUUAUCUUCUGUAUUAGGAUCACUACUUAGAGUUAUUUCUUUCUACUACUGUGUUUUGUUAUAUUUUUAACAGAAAAUAAAAAAAUGCUUGAAAAUACAUAUAUU